GGAGAGGUGGCAGAGUGGUUGAAUGCAGCAUCCUGCUAAGAUGUUAGGGGCUUAACACCCCUCGUGGGUUCGAAUCCCACCCUCUCCG
Molecule: transfer RNA, 88 nt
Filed under: Candidatus Spechtbacteria bacterium SB0662_bin_43
Lineage: Bacteria; Candidatus Spechtiibacteriota
Description: tRNA-Ser
Rfam family: tRNA
About the family: Transfer RNA (tRNA) molecules are approximately 80 nucleotides in length. Their secondary structure includes four short double-helical elements and three loops (D, anti-codon, and T loops).
Source: RNAcentral